This 67-nucleotide transfer RNA is filed under the name Erinaceus europaeus (western European hedgehog). It matches the Rfam family "tRNA". From Rfam's summary of the family: Transfer RNA (tRNA) molecules are approximately 80 nucleotides in length. Their secondary structure includes four short double-helical elements and three loops (D, anti-codon, and T loops). Further hydrogen bonds mediate the characteristic L-shaped molecular structure. tRNAs have two regions of fundamental functional importance: the anti-codon, which is responsible for specific mRNA codon recognition, and the 3' end, to which the tRNAs corresponding amino acid is attached (by aminoacyl-tRNA synthetases). tRNAs cope with the degeneracy of the genetic code in two manners: having more than one tRNA (with a specific anti-codon) for a particular amino acid; and 'wobble' base-pairing, i.e. permitting non-standard base-pairing at the 3rd anti-codon position. The record is from Rfam by way of RNAcentral. Lineage: Eukaryota; Metazoa; Chordata; Mammalia; Eulipotyphla; Erinaceidae.
GGUGCUGGCUCAGAGGCAGGGCACAAGGCUUGCAAGCCUGAAGCCCCAGGUUCAAUCCCUGGCACCA